AGCGGCGGAUGGGUGAGUAACACGUGGGGAACCUGCCCCUAAGUCUGGGAUACCAUUUGGAAACAGGUGCUAAUACCGGAUAAUAAAGCAGAUCGCAUGAUCAGCUUUUGAAAGGCGGCGUAAGCUGUCGCUAAGGGAUGGCCCCGCGGUGCAUUAGCUAGUUGGUAAGGUAACGGCUUACCAAGGCGACGAUGCAUAGCCGAGUUGAGAGACUGAUCGGCCACAUUGGGACUGAGACGCGGCCCAAACUCCUACGGGAGGCAGCAGUAGGGAAUCUUCCACAAUGGACGCAAGUCUGAUGGAGCAACGCCGCGUGAGUGAAGAAGGUUUUCGGAUCGUAAAGCUCUGUUGUUGGUGAAGAAGGAUAGAGGUAGUAACUGGCCUUUAUUUGACGGUAAUCAACCAGAAAGUCACGGCUAACUACGUGCCAGCAGCCGCGGUAAUACGUAGGUGGCAAGCGUUGUCCGGAUUUAUUGGGCGUAAAGCGAGCGCAGGCGGAAAAAUAAGUCUAAUGUGAAAGCCCUCGGCUUAACCGAGGAACUGCAUCGGAAACUGUUUUUCUUGAGUGCAGAAGAGGAGAGUGGAACUCCAUGUGUAGCGGUGGAAUGCGUAGAUAUAUGGAAGAACACCAGUGGCGAAAGGCGGCUCUCUGGUCUGCAACUGACGCUGAGGCUCGAAAGCAUGGGUAGCGAACAGGAUUAGAUACCCUGGGUAGUCCAUGCCGUAACGAUGAGUGCUAAGUGU
RNAcentral lists this ribosomal RNA (744 nucleotides) under uncultured bacterium. Its description in RNAcentral is "bacterial SSU rRNA". It matches the Rfam family "Bacterial small subunit ribosomal RNA", at positions 94 to 823 of the family's 1533-position model. The record is from RNAcentral.